Long non-coding RNA from Triticum urartu, 935 nucleotides. RefSeq lists it as uncharacterized. NCBI's taxonomy places the organism in Eukaryota, Viridiplantae, Streptophyta, Magnoliopsida, Poales, Poaceae. The record is from RefSeq and is a predicted model, not a curated record.
CUUCCCCUUCUUUCUUCGUUUCGAUCCGAUCUGGCAGCCGUGGAUGAACACUGAUCUGGGGUUUGCUCCUCUGCUCAUAGGGUGACCAAGAGGUCCUGCCGAGCUCAAGCUCGUCCACGACGACCCACCACGGCAGGCGGAGCAGCGGGUUAGGGAGGGAAAUCAGGCGAUGGCCAGCAAGUCAAGGCCGUCACGACGGCCCGGGCGCUCGAGCUCGCCGCCACCGCCGGGAAGGCUGCCGCCGACUGCGUCAUCCCCACCUUCAAGAAAUGUCCUCUUUGGUGUCUGUUACGUCUCUGAGUUGGGUUUCGGUGGACCUCUUCGUUGCGCACGGCUGAGCUGAACGUCCUCGGCGGUGGUGGCGGCGCGUGUGAGAUCCUCCUCCAUGACAAGGCCGCCGCCGCCUCAGCCCCCCUCCGCCGGUGGACCCUCGCCUCUCCGACAAGGCCGCCACCGGAUCCCCUCCUAUCCAACAGCAACGCCUCCGGAUCCACUCGUCCUCGACAACGAUGGCACCGAGGAGCACCAGGAGCUUCAGAUCCGCUCGCCAGAAGAAGGCUGUGAAGAUCUUCCCCCGCCCUACCUCUGGACCUCUUCGCCCCAUCGUGCAAUGCCAGACCCGCAAGUACAACAUGAAGGCCAGGGCUGGCAGGGGCCUACUGCUGUUGCUGGGUAGAGUCCAGCCAUGCUACUGCUAGGUGUUGUGUGUUCUGGAAGAUGGAAGAGGAAGAAAACCUAUUUUUGUUGAACUAAAUUUUCUGUAUUCUGUUUUGUUGUACGUAUUAUUUUUUUAGUUUUGUAUAGGAACAAGUGAUACUAUUUUGUAGGGCUUUAUGGCCUGUGAUGUAAACAUAUGUAGUGCUGAAAUAUGAAAUUAUUUGCAAAAUUUGUCAAAAAGGUGGAUCAUAUGUAUGAAUAUGUGAAUGGGCUGAAAA